Molecule: ribosomal RNA, 521 nt
Filed under: uncultured bacterium
Lineage: Bacteria
Description: bacterial SSU rRNA
Rfam family: Bacterial small subunit ribosomal RNA
Source: RNAcentral
GACGAACGCUGGCGGCGUGCUUAACACAUGCAAGUCGAGCGGUAAGGCUCCUUCGGGAGUACACGAGCGGCGAACGGGUGAGUAACACGUGAGCAACCUGCCCUUCUCAUCGGAAUAAGCGUUGGAAACGACGUCUAAUGCCGAAUACGACUUCGGAAGGCAUCUUCUGAAGUGGAAAGCUCCGGCGGAGAGGGAUGGGCUCGCGGCCUAUCAGCUUGUUGGUGGGGUAAUGGCCCACCAAGGCGACGACGGGUAGCCGGCCUGAGAGGGUGACCGGCCACACUGGGACUGAGACACGGCCCAGACUCCUACGGGAGGCAGCAGUGGGAAUAUUGGACAAUGGGCGCAAGCCUGAUCCAGCAACGCCGCGUGAGGGAUGACGGCCUUCGGGUUGUAAACCUCUUUCAGCAGGGUACGAAGCGCAAGUGACGGUACCUGCAGAAGAAGGACCGGCCAACUACGUGCCAGCAGCCGCGGUAAUACGUAGGGUCCGAGCGUUGUCCGGAAUUAUUGGGCGUAAA